AGGUUGGAAAAGACGUUCCUACAAAGGUUUUGGACAGUGAUUUUAACCCUCAGCCAAAAACCUUAAACCUUACCCUAGCCCCAUAACCUAAUACCCGGGUAUUACCUUCAGGAAGCCCGAACACCCCAAAUAUAUAUUUUUUUCUUUUUUUUUUUUUUUUGGUCUAACUAACUCCAAAAGGUCUGAAACAUGUUCCUUAAAAAUAUUGGACAGUGAUUUUAACCCUUACGCCAAAAACCUUAAACCUAACCCUAGCCCCAUAACCUAAUACUUAAACCUGAAGGGUAUUACCUUCAGGAAGCCCGAACACCCCAAAUAUUUUUUUUUCAUUUUACAUUUUUUUUGGUGUAACCAACUCCAAAAGGUCUGAAUCUUGUUCCUUAAAAGGUUUUGGACAGUGAUUUUAACCCUAACGCCAAAAACCUUAAACCUUACCCUAGCCCCAAAACCUAAUACCCGGGUAUUACCUUCAGGAAGCCCGAACACCCCAAAUAUUUUUUUUUUCAUUUUACAUUUUUUUUGGUGUAACCAACUCCAAAAGGUCUGAAACAUGUUCCUAAAAAGGUUUUGGACAGUGAUUUUAACCCUUACGCCAAAAACCUUAAACCUUACCCUAGCCCCAUAACCUAAUACCCGGGUAUUACCUUCAGGAAGCCCGAACACCCCAAUUAUAUUUUUUUUUUUUUUCUUUUUUUUUGGUCUAACUAACUCCAAAAGGUCGAAAAGAGUUCCUACAAAGGUUUUGGACAGUGAUUUUAACCCUAACGCCAAAAACCUUAAACCUUACCCUAGCCCCAUAACCUAAUACCCGGGUAUUACCUUCAGGAAGCCCGAACACCCCAAAUAUAUUUUUUUUCAUUUUACUUUUUUUUUGGUGUAACCAACUCCAAAAGGUCUGAAACAUGUUCCUAAAAAGGUUUUGGACAGUGAUUUUAACCCUAACGCCAAAAACCUUAAACCUUACCCUAGCCCCAUAACCUAAUACCCGGGUAUUACCUUCAGGAAGCCCGAACACCCAAAAUAUUUUUUUUUCAUUUUCAUUUUUUUUUGGUCUAACUAACUCCAAAAGGUCUGAAAAGAUGUUCCUAAAAGGUUUUGGACAGUGAUUUUAACCCUAACGCCAAAAACCUUAAACCUUACCCUAGCCCCAUAACCUCAUACCCGGGUAUUACCUUCAGGAAGCCCGAACACCCCAAAUAUUUUUUUUUCAAUUUUCGUUUUUUUUUGGUCUAACUAACACCAAAAGGUUGGAAAAGAGGUCCUACAAAGGUUUUGGACAGUGAUUUUAACCCUAACGCCAAAAACCUUAAACCUUACCCUAGCCCCAAAACCUAAUACCCGGGUAUUACCUUCAGGAAGCCCGAACACCCCAAAUAUAUAUUUUUUUCAUUUUACAUUUUUUUUUGGUGUAACCAACUCCAAAAGGUCUUAAACAUGUUCCUAAAAAGGUUUUGGACAGUGAUUUUAACCCUAACGCCAAAAACCUUAAACCUUACCCUAGCCCCAUAACCUAAUACCCGGGUAUUACCUUCAGGAAGCCCGAACACCCCAAAUAUUUUUUUUUCAUUUAUCUUUUUUUUUUUGUCUAACUAACUCCAAAAGGUUGGAAAAGACUUCCUACAAAGGUUUUGGACAGUGAUUUUAACCCUCACGCCAAAAACCUUAAACCUUACCCUAGCCCCAUAACCUAAUACCCGGGUAUUACCUUCAGGAAGCCCGAACACCCCAAAUUUUUUUUUUUCAUUUUACAUUUUUUUUUGGUGUAACCAACUCCAAAAGGUCUGAAACAUGGUCCUCAAAAGGUUUUGGACAGUGAUUUUAACCCUAACGUCAAAAACCUUAAACCUUACCCUAGCCCCAAAACCUAUUACCUUCAGGAAGCCCGAACACCCCAAAUAUUUUUUUUUUUCAUUUUACAUUUUUUUUGGUGUAACCAACUCCAAAAGGUCUGAAACAUGUUCCUAAAAAGGUUUUGGACAGUGAUUUUAACCCUAACGCCAAAAACCUUAAACCUUACCCUAGCCCCAUACCCUAAUACCCGGGUAUUACCUUCAGGAAGCCCGAACACCCCAAAUAUUUUUUUUUCAUUCAUCUUUUUUUUUUUGUCUAACUAACUCCAAAAGGUUGGAAAAGACUUCCUACAAAGGUUUUGGACAGUGAUUUUAACCCUCAUGCCAAAAACCUUAAACCUUACCCUAGCCCCAUAACCUAAUACCCGGGUAUUACCUUCAGGAAGCCCGAACACCCCAAAUAUUUUUUUUUUUCAUUUUACAUUUUUUUUGGUGUAACCAACUCCAAAAGGUCUGAAACAUGUUCCUAAAAAGGUUUUGGACAGUGAUUUUAACCCUAACGCCAAAAACCUUAAACCUUACCCUAGCCCCAUAACCUAAUACCCGGGUAUUACCUUCAGGAAGCCCGAACACCCCAAAUAUAUUUUUUUUCAUUUUUUUUUUUUUUUUGGUCUAACUAACUCCAAAAGGUUGGAAAAGACUUCCUACAAAGGUUUUGGACAGUGAUUUUAACCCUCAUGCCAAAAACCUUAAACCUUAACCUAGCCCCAUAACCUAAUACCCGGGUAUUACCUUCAGGAAGCCCGAACACCCCAAAUAUAUAUUUUUUCAUUUUUCUUUUUUUUUUUGGUGUAACUAACUCCAAAAGGUCUGAAACAUGUUCCUUAAAAAAUAUUGGACAGUGAUUUUAACCCUUACGCCAAAAACCUUAAACCUUACCCUAGCCCCAUAACCUAAUACCCGGGUAUUACCUUCAGGAAGCCCGAACACCCCAAAUAUAUAUUUUUUUCAUUUUACAUUUUUUUUGGUGUAACCAACUCCAAAAGGUCUGAAUCUUGUUCCUUAAAAGGUUUUGGACAGUGAUUUUAACCCUAACGUCAAAAACCUUAAACCUUACCCUAGCCCCAAAACCUAAUACCCGGGUAUUACCUUCAGGGAACCCGAACACCCCAUAUAUUUUUUUUUCAUUUUACAUUUAUUUUUGGUGUUAACAACUCCAAAAGGUCUGAAACAUGUUCCUAAAAAGGUUUUGGACAGUGAUUUUAACCCUAACGCCAAAAACCUUAAACCUUACCCUAGCCCCAUAACCUCAUACCCGGGUAUUACCUUCAGGAAGCCCGAACACCCCAAUUAUAUUUUUUUCUUUUUUCUUUUUUUUUGGUCUAACUAACUCCAAAAGGUCAGAAAAGAGUUCCUACAAAGGUUUUGGACAGUGAUUUUAACCCUAACACCAAAAACCUUAAACCUUACCCUAGCCCCAAAACCUAAUACCCGGGUAUUACCUUCAGGAAGCCCGAACACCCCAAUUUUUUUUUUUUCAUUUUACAUUUUUUUUUUGGUGUAACCAACUCCAAAAGGUCUUAAACAUGUUCCUAAAAAGGUUUUGGACACUGAUUUUAACUCUAACUCCAAAAACCUUUAACCUUACCCUAGCCCCAUAACCUAAUACCCGGGUAUUACCUUCAGGAAGCUUGAACACCCCAAAUAUUUUUUUUUCAUUUUACAUUUUUUUUUGGUGUAACCAACUCCAAAAGGUCUGAAACAUGUUCCUAAAAAGGUUUUGGACAGUGAUUUUAACCCUAACGCCAAAUACCUUAAACCUAACCCUAGCCCCAAAACCUAAUACCCGGGUAUUACCUUCAGGAAGCCCAAAAACCCCAAUUUUUUUUUUUUUUCAUUUUACAUUUUUUUUUGGUGUAACCAACUCCAAAAGGUCUGAAACAUGGUCCUAAAAAGGUUUUGGACAGUGAUUUUAACCCUUACGCCAAAAACCUUAAACCUUACCCGGGUAUUACCUUCAGGAAGCCCGAACACCCCAAAUAUUUUUUUUUUCAUUUAUCUUUUUUUUUUGUCUAACUAACUCCAAAAGGAUGGAAAAGACUUCCUACAAAGGUUUUGGACAGUGAUUUUAACCCUCAUGCCAAAAACCUUAAACCUUAACCUAGCCCCAUAACCUAAUACCCGGGUAUUACCUUCAGGAAGCCCGAACACCCCAAAUAUAUAUUUUUUCAUUCAUCUUUUUUUUUUUUUUGGUCAAACUAGCUCCAAAAGGUCUGAAACAUGUUCCUUAAAAAAUAUUGGACAGUGAUUUUAACCCUUACGCCAAAAACCUUAAACCUAAUCCUAGCCCCAUAACCUAAUACUUAAACCUGAAGGGUAUUACCUUCAGGAAGCCCGAACACCCCAAAUAUUUUUUUUUUCAUUUUACAUUUUUUUUGGUGUAACCAACUCCAAAAGGUCUGAAUCUUGUUCCUUAAAAGGUUUUGGACAGUGAUUUUAACCCUAACGCCAAAAACCUUAAACCUUACCCUAGCCCCAUAACCUAAU
Non-coding RNA from Xyrichtys novacula (pearly razorfish), 4337 nucleotides. Lineage: Eukaryota; Metazoa; Chordata; Actinopteri; Labriformes; Labridae. The record is from the annotation of a GenBank genome assembly.